AGGGUUUGAUCAUGGCUCAGAACGUACGCUGGCGGCACGCCUUAUACAUGCAAGUCGAACGAAGUAGCAAUACUUAGUGGCAGACGGGUGAGUAACAUGUAGGUAUCUUCCCUUUGGUGAGGAAUAACACGAGGAAACUUGUGCUAAUACCUCAUAAGUCUUUACGGAGAAAGCUUUAUGCGCCGAAGGAUGGGCCUGCAUUUGAUUAGUUUGUUGGUGGGGUAAUGGCUCACCAAGACUAUGAUCAAUAGCUGAUCUGAGAGGAUGAUCAGCCACAUUGGGACUGAGACACGGCCCAAACUCCUACGGGAGGCAGCAGUAGGGAAUAUUGCACAAUGGAGGAAACUCUGAUGCAGCGAUGCCGCGUGAGUGAAGAAGGCCUUUGGGUUGUAAAGCUCUUUCGUCGGGGAAGAAAAUGACUGUACCCGAAUAAGAAGGUCCGGCUAACUUCGUGCCAGCAGCCGCGGUAAUACGAAGGGACCUAGCGUAGUUCGGAAUUACUGGGCUUAAAGAGUUCGUAGGUGGUUAAAAAAGUUGGUGGUGAAAUCCCAGAGCUUAACUCUGGAACUGCCAUCAAAACUUUUAGCUAGAGUAUGAUAGAGGAAAGCAGAAUUUCUAGUGUAGAGGUGAAAUUCGUAGAUAUUAGAAAGAAUACCAAUUGCGAAGGCAGCUUUCUGGAUCAUUACUGACACUGAGGAACGAAAGCAUGGGUAGCGAAGAGGAUUAGAUACCCUCGUAGUCCAUGCCGUAAACGAUGUGUGUUAGACGUUGGAAAUUUAUUUUCAGUGUCGCAGCGAAAGCAUUAAACACACCGCCUGGGGAGUACGACCGCAAGGUUAAAACUCAAAUGAAUUGACGGGGACCCGCACAAGUAGUGGAGCAUGUGGUUUAAUUCGAAGAUACGCGCAGAACCUUACCAACACUUGACAUGUUCGUCGCGACUUUAAGAGAUUAAAGUUUUCGGUUCGGCCGGACGAAACACAGGUGCUGCAUGGCUGUCGUCAGCUCGUGUCGUGAGAUGUUGGGUUAAGUCCCGCAACGAGCGCAACCCUCACUUUUAGUUGCCAUCAUUUAGUUGGGCACUCUGAAAGAACUGCCAGUGAUAAGCUGGAGGAAGGUGGGGAUGACGUCAAGUCCUCAUGGCCCUUACGUGUUGGGCUACACACGUGCUACAAUGGCAUUUACAAUAGGAUGCAAGAUGGCGACGUCAAGCAAAUCCUAAAAAGAUGCCUCAGUUCGGAUUGUACUCUGCAACUCGAGUACAUGAAGCUGGAAUUACUAGUAAUCGCGGAUCAGCGCGCCGCGGUGAAUACGUUCCCGGGUCUUGUACACACCGCCCGUCACACCAUGGGAGUUGGUUCUACCUUAAGGCAAGGUUUAAAACCCUUGACCACGGUAUAGUCAGCGACUGGGGUGAAGUCGUAACAAGGUA
This 1432-nucleotide ribosomal RNA is filed under the name uncultured bacterium. RNAcentral describes it as "16S ribosomal RNA". It matches the Rfam family "Bacterial small subunit ribosomal RNA". The record is from RNAcentral.